RNAcentral lists this unclassified non-coding RNA (211 nucleotides) under Hevea brasiliensis (rubber tree). Lineage: Eukaryota; Viridiplantae; Streptophyta; Magnoliopsida; Malpighiales; Euphorbiaceae. The record is from RNAcentral.
UGGCAGGUUCUGGCAAAUACACUUUCCAGGCUAACUGAAGCCUGUAGAUUGUAGUUUAGAAACUCACCCAAGUCACAAUUGCAAUUGGCCUGAAAUUUCAAUUGUUAUGCUUGGCAAUAGUUGAGUUGGUGUAGAAAGUAAAGAGUAAUAACUAACUGCUAUGGUUCUAAGUGUUGUUGGUACAGAGAUAAAAACUACAAAAAGAAAGGGA